RNAcentral lists this ribosomal RNA (406 nucleotides) under Lactococcus lactis. RNAcentral's name for it is "bacterial SSU rRNA". It matches the Rfam family "Bacterial small subunit ribosomal RNA", at positions 28 to 425 of the family's 1533-position model. The record is from RNAcentral. Lineage: Bacteria; Bacillati; Bacillota; Bacilli; Lactobacillales; Streptococcaceae.
GACGAACGCUGGCGGCGUGCCUAAUACAUGCAGGUUGAGCGCUGAAGGUUGGUACUUGUACCAACUGGAUGAGCAGCGAACGGGUGAGUAACGCGUGGGGAAUCUGCCUUUGAGCGGGGGACAACAUUUGGAAACGAAUGCUAAUACCGCAUAAAAACUUUAAACACAAGUUUUAAGUUUGAAAGAUGCAAUUGCAUCACUCAAAGAUGAUCCCGCGUUGUAUUAGCUAGUUGGUGAGGUAAAGGCUCACCAAGGCGAUGAUACAUAGCCGACCUGAGAGGGUGAUCGGCCACAUUGGGACUGAGACACGGCCCAAACUCCUACGGGAGGCAGCAGUAGGGAAUCUUCGGCAAUGGACGAAAGUCUGACCGAGCAAACGCCGCGUGAGUGAAAGAAAGGUUUUUCG